RNAcentral lists this ribosomal RNA (322 nucleotides) under uncultured bacterium. RNAcentral describes it as "bacterial SSU rRNA". It matches the Rfam family "Bacterial small subunit ribosomal RNA", at positions 527 to 848 of the family's 1533-position model. The record is from RNAcentral.
GUAGGGAGCAAGCGUUAUCCGGAUUUACUGGGUGUAAAGGGCGUGUAGGCGGGACUGCAAGUCAGAUGUGAAAACUAUGGGCUCAACUCAUAGCCUGCAUUUGAAACUGUAGUUCUUGAGUGCUGGAGAGGCAAAUGGAACUCCUAGUGUAGCGGUGAAAUGCGUAGAUAUUAGGAAGAACACCAGUGGCGAAGGCGAUUUGCUGGGCUUUAACUGACGCUGAGGCACGAAAGCGUGGGUAGCAAACAGGAUUAGAUACCCUGGUAGUCCACGCUGUAAACGAUGAUUACUAGGUGUGGGGGGUCUGACCCCUUCCGUGCCG